Molecule: ribosomal RNA, 253 nt
Filed under: uncultured bacterium
Lineage: Bacteria
Description: partial 16S ribosomal RNA
Rfam family: Bacterial small subunit ribosomal RNA
Source: RNAcentral
UACGUAGGGUGCGAGCGUUGUCCGGAACUAUUGGGCGUAAAGAGCUCGUAGGCGGUCUGUCGCGUCGAAUGUGAAAACCCGGGGCUCAACUCCGGGCUUGCAUUCGAUACGGGCAGGCUAGAGUUCGGUAGGGGAGUCUGGAAUUCCUGGUGUAGCGGUGAAAUGCGCAGAUAUCAGGAGGAACACCGGUGGCGAAGGCGGGACUCUGGGCCGAUACUGACGCUGAGGAGCGAAAGCGUGGGGAGCGAACAGG